RNAcentral lists this ribosomal RNA (366 nucleotides) under uncultured eukaryote. RNAcentral's name for it is "partial 18S ribosomal RNA". It matches the Rfam family "Eukaryotic small subunit ribosomal RNA", at positions 592 to 976 of the family's 1831-position model. The record is from RNAcentral.
CAAUGGCGUAUAUUAAAGUUGUUGCAGUUAAAAAGCUCGUAGUUGGAUUUCUGGAGGGAGCGUCGGCCCGUAUUUACGAGUGCGUGACGUCUCUGUCCAUCCUUGCGGGAAGGCACGGCAUUGAUUUGUUGUGUCGGAUCGCAUCAUUUACUGUGAAAAAAUUAGAGUGUUCAAAGCAGGCUUUCGCUUGAAUACAUUAGCAUGGAAUAAUAAGAUAGGACUUUGGUGCUAUUUUGUUGGUUGAGCCUAAAGUAAUGAUUAAUAGGGAUAGUUGGGGGCACCUGUAUUGCGUUGUCAGAGGUGAAAUUCUUGGAUUUACGCAAGACAAACAGCUGCGAAAGCGUCUGCCAAGGAUGUUUUCAUUAA